UUGAGCCGUAUGCGGGGAAACUCGCACGUACGGUUCUUAGGGGGCGGGGCGGCAGUAAUGCCGUCCUGCUACCCGAC
Tepidiphilus thermophilus is the source of this 77-nucleotide non-coding RNA. The record is from Rfam. Lineage: Bacteria; Pseudomonadati; Pseudomonadota; Hydrogenophilia; Hydrogenophilales; Hydrogenophilaceae.